RNAcentral lists this ribosomal RNA (253 nucleotides) under uncultured bacterium. Its description in RNAcentral is "partial 16S ribosomal RNA". It matches the Rfam family "Bacterial small subunit ribosomal RNA", at positions 524 to 776 of the family's 1533-position model. The record is from RNAcentral.
UACGUAGGGGGCAAGCGUUGUCCGGAUUUAUUGGGCGUAAAGCGCGUGUAGGCGGCCAGAUAGGUCUGCUGUGAAAACUCGAGGCUCAACCUCGAGAUGUCGGCGGAAACCGUCUGGCUAGAGUCCGGAAGAGGAGAGUGGAAUUCCUGGUGUAGCGGUGAAAUGCGCAGAUAUCAGGAAGAACACCUAUGGCGAAGGCAGCUCUCUGGGACGGUACUGACGCUGAGACGCGAAAGCGUGGGGAGCGAACAGG